GGGUUCGUAUUUCAUAAAAAAAAAAGGUUUAAGAUUGAUGGUUUAGGAUUUAGAGUUUAGUUUUAGAGUUUAAGAUUUUUAUUUAUUUAAAUAUUUAUUUAUUAUAUAUAUAAAAAACAAUGGCAUAAGAGUUUUUUGCCGCUUAAUGAAUAAGGUAUUUUUGAAAAUGUCUUUUUAGUGGUGGUAAAAAUGAAAAGUGAUAGUAUGAAAGUGGUUAACAUGUAAUUUCCCCUUAUAUCGUCUACAAAAUAAAUAUAUUCAUAUAUAACAUUUCAAAUUUCGAAAUAUUAUUAUUUUUGUAUAAUUGUACAAUUUGUGAAUUGUACUACUAAAGUUUUCAAAAAUUUCUACAAUUUUUUUUUUAAAAUUUAAAUAUCUAAUCGUAAGAUCAUUAGUUUCUUAUAUAUCUACAAAUUUUAUAAAUAUUUUUUAGGCUAAAUUUUUGAUAACUAUACAAUUUUAUAUCAUUUUAUUAGUUUUAUACAAAUUGGUUUAAUAUGUAUCAAAUCUAUAUUAAAUAUUAGUAAUAAAAUAGUAAAAUCUAUAAUAUUUAAUAAAAUUUAUUUUAAAUAUAAAUUAGAUUAAAAAUUUAUUAGUGCACAUAGUGCCGAAAAACACCUAGUCUAUCUAUCUAUAUUAUAAUGAAAGAGUUUUUACUCUCUCCUAAGCAUGGCCGCGCGUAAAAAUUUUAGGUCCCGCAUUUAAUAUUAUAAUAUCUUUUUGCCGUCUCCUUCCUCUCAACUUUCGACCUCCCCUAUGUCUUCAUCUCGGUCGCUUCCUUACCUUCUAUUUUACAAUCAGAGCAUUAGAUUUGUACGUAUCUAAUCAGAAAACACCUCAAAUACUAUAAUUCAGUCAGAGAGGGUUGAGAAUGGAAUCAAGCAAUCACCAACAAGCUUUCUCAAUUUAUUUUCUCUCAAAAACCUAAAAUCCUCUUCCUUUUCUUGGACUCGCGAAACAUCAAGCAAAAUGAGAAUUUAUGGAAUCACUCUCCUUAUCCUUGCUGAAAAGAAUUCGGUGAUCCACAGAUCCAUUCCUGCUAUUGAUGAAAUUUUGAACAAUGCUUAGGAAGUUUGACAUCUUCAAGCUCUUGCAAACACGAACUCAAACUGCCUGUUUUUUCAUUUACAUUUGCUAAUUUAUAUUUUAGUAAUUUAUAUAUGAUUUCGUUAUUAAUUGUGAAGCUCUUCAUCAAAUGGCAGAUCUUGGCCAAAUUCGUCAUGUGCAAGGUUCUGACCUUAAGAACGGUGAAGCAAUGACUAGACUUGUGGUCUAUUUCCUCACUAGGAGUUUUUCAUAAGAGGAGUAAUAUGUGGAAGAGAGUAGAGUGAAAGAGAGAUAAUUGUUUCCAAAUUUGAGGAAAUUCUAAGCUGCAAUCAGAGGAAAAGAUUAAGAGUUUAUAAAAGCUUGGUCUGGAAUUGAGGAGAGAUAUGGCGGGUACAGAUUUUUGAUCAACUUCUAAAGCAUCAGAUAUGGAUUAGAAAACAAAACCAAACAGAGAUGAUGCAAAGAGGAUCUGAAUCAGUGAUGAAGAUUCGUUUCUCAGAAUCAAAACGCCUCUACAGUUUUUUUUUUUAAUUUGUGAACUUCCACACUAUAAUUAUGCGACUGAUUUAUUUGUGUUGUUUCUUUCAAGCUGAAUAGAAGACAAAAAAGACGAGAGAGGAUUCAGUACAACAAAUGAUUGCAACUUCUGCCACAUGAUCAUGUAAACAUCAUGACAUUUUUCAUGUAUGGUAACUCAAUUCUUUAUAAUUUGUGGUUGUCUCUAAAUUUGGAUUAUAGUGUGUUUCUCGCGAUAAUGAAGCAUACCACAUAUCUGAAUUUAUUUCUACGGUAGCUUCAAAGAAAAAAGUAGUACUUGGGAGUCAUUCACCAGUAGUGUAAUCAAGCAACCAAUUUUGAAACUCUGACGUUAGGCAACCCAUAUGGCUUCGGCUUUGUUUUUGUCUUAUAGUCUGGUCUUCUCUACAGUUCUGCUCGAAUCAGCUCUGUCACAAACUAAAGUGUUCAAUCAAGACAUGUCAGUCUCUAAUUUAAACAUCUUCUGAUGUUUUUGGUAUUUCUUACUUAAGAAAAAUAUGUUUGAACACUUUCCCUUCCAAAAAGAUUGGAUGACUUUUUGAUUUCAGUUGUGCCGUAAGAUUUCAGUUUUGGCGUUUCUAAACUUGGUUGGAUCUCCUAAGAAGAAGCUGUUUAGAAUUGAUUACGAGAUAUAAACCCUGCAAACAAAAAAGAGUGAAGACAAUGGGCAGAAGAAGAAGAACAAAGAUAUGAAGAAGAGAAUCAAAGUCUUAAGUGAAAGAGAAAGAAGAAGAAAAAGUUAACUUAGAGUCAAAGAAGGAGGUAACCUUGCAUUACAUCUCUAAAGAGUCGUUACUCAUCUUAAGAGUUUAGUUAAUAAUUAAACUGAGUAAGUCAAACUAGAAGAUGAUCAGAGAGCGGUCUAAGAAGAGUUGUUAGAACAGUGUUUUAAUUGCUUGCAAGAUUUGUCUAAAGACUAGAAGUAUGGAUUAGGUGUAAGUAAGCAUGAUUAAAGUCAGUUAGUUGAUCUGCUAUGAAGAGCAAGUAUGAUCUAUUAUAAGAUUGGCCCUGUUCUUUAAGGUGUCGCUGCGUCAGCGGCGAGCGACUGAAAUUGAACGUUAAUGACGGCAAAUAAUAGAAUGGAAAACUGAAAAGGUGUCGCUGCGGUUAAUUUAUUAGUAGUUUCCGGUGUUGAUUGUAUCGCUGAAAAAACCAGCGAUCAUCGGAAUAGUGUUGUAAUCAAACGCAGGUGUCGCUGCGACAUAUCCACCACAAACUUAAGCUUCAAGAAGCGUAAAAUUAGGGCGUAUUUUAAAAGCUGGUCGCUGACGCAGCGUUCCGUUGCCGAACAGGGCCAUUGUAUGCAAGUCUGCAGUUUUUUCCAUUGUUGUUGUUGUUGUAGAAUGUGAGACAAGCAAGUGGAUCAUUGCAGCCCGUGUUCGAAAACGCGCCCGAGUUGCCGAGAUCUCGGCCGGGUAAGCGUUGGGCGUGUUGUCACCGUGGCGUGGAGGAGCUGAUCGGAGUAGCUAGGCGGUGAGUCGAUUUUGUCUUGAGUUGACUGCGAAAAUGAUGCAAUCGGUGCUUCGUAUUACAAACACGUGUUGCUUCAGUUUGAUAAUCUACAUAAUUUUGACCUCAAUCGAUAUUAUUUUGAGACUUUGUGCUGUAAACCGCAAGAAAAUUGAAAAAAAAUGUAAAAGAUCAUGUUUGGAACUCAUGAACGGUGGCUAGGGUUGCAGAGAAGUUUGUUAAAGAGAUGAGAGUACUAAUGUAAUUUUACUUUUUAAUGAAUUAAAUGCGAAAAUGCUUAAAAUUUGAGCUGAUAGAGAU
This is a long non-coding RNA of Brassica napus (rape), 3354 nucleotides long. RefSeq lists it as uncharacterized. Lineage: Eukaryota; Viridiplantae; Streptophyta; Magnoliopsida; Brassicales; Brassicaceae. The transcript has 2 exons. The record is from RefSeq and is a predicted model, not a curated record.